CCUCUGGGUCCACCUCCCACCCGUGUUUAUUUACCUUGUUGCUUCGGCGGGCCCGCCUUAACUGGCCGCCGGGGGGCUCACGCCCCCGGGCCCGCGCCCGCCGAAGACACCCUCGAACUCUGUCUGAAGAUUGUAGUCUGAGUGAAAAUAUAAAUUAUUUAAAACUUUCAACAACGGAUCUCUUGGUUCCGGCAUCGAUGAAGAACGCAGCGAAAUGCGAUACGUAAUGUGAAUUGCAAAUUCAGUGAAUCAUCGAGUCUUUGAACGCACAUUGCGCCCCCUGGUAUUCCGGGGGGCAUGCCUGUCCGAGCGUCAUUGCUGCCCUCAAGCACGGCUUGUGUGUUGGGCCCCGUCCUCCGAUUCCGGGGGACGGGCCCGAAAGGCAGCGGCGGCACCGCGUCCGGUCCUCGAGCGUAUGGGGCUUUGUCACCCGCUCUGUAGGCCCGGCCGGCGCUUGCCGAUCAACCCAAAUUUUUAUCCAGGUUGACCUCGGAUCAGGUAGGGAUACCCGCUGAACUUAAGCAUAUCAAUAA
Molecule: ribosomal RNA, 533 nt
Filed under: Penicillium sp. Tibet-4524
Lineage: Eukaryota; Fungi; Ascomycota; Eurotiomycetes; Eurotiales; Aspergillaceae
Description: eukaryotic LSU rRNA
Rfam family: 5.8S ribosomal RNA (bases 163-315)
Source: RNAcentral